CGCGAGAUCCUUCACGUGCAGCCGCAGCAGGAGCAGCUUCCGCGAGGAGCGGCCUCAGGUCAGAGGUCACGACAUCGAGGUGCGGGAGGGGCGAAACAGCAGAAAACGUUUUAAACGUCUAUGAAAAGCAAAGAAAUACGUAAACGGUUUUUGUCCGAUUACGCAGCUAGACUUCAGCCUACAUUUCCGGAGGGCUGGCAUACAACGACUGAUUUCCUACAGUGAGUUGGCUUAUUUUCCAGAUAAAGAGCAACUCAGCCCUUAAGUUGCUUAUGUAAACAUAUUUCUGCUCAAAGCACCAUUGUUGGAGAGAAAACAUUUCUCGAACAAUUCAGGAAUGUAUAAGUGUAUACAGGCAAUUCGCUCGAUAAAAUGAUGAUUUAGGAAAAGGGGCAGGAGACCGAUUUGUUUCUCAUUCUGCACGUCUUUGCCUGGUUCCCAGAUGAGGAAGGUUACUGCCAAGAAAGUUUGCGCAGUAAUCGGUGUCAUCUUUUUACGAUUGACCUUUCAGUGCUAAAAUGCAAGUGCUGCUGUCCCCGUGGGCGUUGUUCCUUCAGUGUUUUAUGUCUCCUGAAGAUCGAUUUCACUGCUCCUGUUACUACUCCUCGCUGUUCCCAGAGUCUCUAAACAAGGUGCUCCAGAUUCCUCCCACAGUCCAGAGACAUGCUGUACUGGCAGGUUAAUUGGCUUCUGGGAAUACAAUAUAGGCUCUGGUGUGAGCUUUUCGGUGGGAUUCAGCCUGUAGAUUGUGCUCACCGCCGUUUCCUCAGUCUAGAGUAAACUGGUCCAAUACUUUUACCAACCACCAGGGGGCGCCGAGGGAGGCUUGGAAAAAGUUGUCGGUAAGUUUUACAGGAAAUGGGCUCUUAGGAAGUAGAAUGUGACAUUUUCAAACACAUUUUUCUUAAAAACCUGCUGCUUAAAUGUAUUAUCAUUUUAUUCGUUCCUGCUUCAUGAUCCAGCUGCUUCCAGGAAAUCAAGCAGGCCAGACACGUCUGGUACAAAGCAGCUCUGCGUUUGCGCCUUGGAAUUGAAAUGACCAAAUCAUUUUUACGGUGGGUAGCUGCAUCAGCAUGCUUAGGCUGCAAAGGAACAAGUAAUAGGUUUAUUCCAUGCCGA
Non-coding RNA from Lepisosteus oculatus (spotted gar), 1119 nucleotides. The record is from RefSeq and is a predicted model, not a curated record. NCBI's taxonomy places the organism in Eukaryota, Metazoa, Chordata, Actinopteri, Semionotiformes, Lepisosteidae.